Molecule: ribosomal RNA, 425 nt
Filed under: uncultured bacterium
Lineage: Bacteria
Description: bacterial SSU rRNA
Rfam family: Bacterial small subunit ribosomal RNA
Source: RNAcentral
GUGGGGAAUCUUGCACAAUGGGCGAAAGCCUGAUGCAGCGACGCCGCGUGGAGGAUGAAGGCCUUCGGGUUGUAAACUCCUUUUGUAGGGGACAAUAAUGAUGGUACCCUAUGAAUAAGCCACGGCUAACUCUGUGCCAGCAGCCGCGGUAAGACAGAGGUGGCGAGCGUUGUUCGGAAUUACUGGGCUUAAAGGGCGCGUAGGCGGUGGAGUAAGUCUGAGGUGGAAUGCCACAGCCCAACUGUGGAACUGCCUUGGAAACUGCCUCACUUGAGUUAGACAGGGGAAGGCGGAAUUCCUGGUGUAGCGGUGAAAUGCGUAGAUAUCAGGAGGAAGGCCAGUGGUGAAGACGGCCUUCUGGGUCUUAACUGACGCUGAGGCGCGAAAGCGUGGGGAGCAAACAGGAUUAGAAACCCUAGUAGUCC